This is a long non-coding RNA of Papaver somniferum (opium poppy), 1607 nucleotides long. RefSeq lists it as uncharacterized. The transcript is spliced from 3 exons. NCBI's taxonomy places the organism in Eukaryota, Viridiplantae, Streptophyta, Magnoliopsida, Ranunculales, Papaveraceae. The record is from RefSeq and is a predicted model, not a curated record.
UUCUUCUCUGUUAUUUCUCUUCUUUCUUUUCCUCUUCUCUGUCGAUCUCAAACCAGAGGAAUUGAUAUUGAAUCUUGUUCAAGUAAGCUUAAGAUAUUGAUAACCCGAUGGUGUUGAAGUUGGUUUAACUUUAGAUGAAGAAGAAACGAUAUAUCAAAGAGAAACCGAGGUUAAUUAGGGUUUCUGAAAGAUGAAGUUUAAUUGAGGUUUUGUGGAAUUGAUUUGUGUAUUGAGUUCCUGAUGGAAGAAGAUUGAAUGGGUUGACGUUUAAUUGUAUUUUUGAAGUUGAUUCAAUGAUGAAUCGAAGAACUAGGGUUUCUCAUAAGAUUGUCUAGGGUUUCGGCUGAUGAUGAAUAAGAUGGGAUUAGAGAUGGGUUUUGUAUUUUGAGAAAAAAGAAGAAGAAUUGAUUGAAGAUCUGGGGUUUUGUGAGAUUGUCAUGUAGUGUUUCAGAGGAAGAAUCUAUUGAUGGUGUUGAGAUUGAUUGUACUGAACUGGUGGGAUGUUGUGGUCUCAAGAAGAAUUGAAGAAUCGAUUCAAACAAGAAGAAUAAUCUAAUUCAAUUGCAGAACUGAAACUAAGUGAGGUAAUUGUUAUUUCCUAGUUAUUUUGGUAAAGUCCAGUUUCAUAUAUGUGAUUGUGUGAUUGAUAAGGAAGUUGAGACUUAAAAUGUUGUGUUGUGGCUGGAUAUGAAAAGGUAGGCGUUAUGUGUUGAUCUGAGUAAAUGUUGACGUUGCAGAGAAGAAUUGAAAUAAUGAUGAACUGUUUGUACAGUUGAGUUUAUGGAAUUGGUGUUAUUGUUGAGCAUGCUAAAUCUAGGGGAAAAGAUAUUGAGUUGCAAUGGAGUUGUUCAACUAGCUAGUGAUGAAGUUGAAGUGAACUUGGAGAUAAUGGAAUUGAACUGUGUAUGGUUGUAUUACAAGUAGUGGUUAUAUGUGUUGAGAAGAACUGAAAAUUGUUCUGUUGCAGGUAAUGGUGUUUAACUGAAGUUGUGUUGUUUUGAGUAAAGAAGUUAUAGAUGAUGGGGUUAUUGUAAUGAGUAGUUGCAGGAUAUGGAUUAAUGGUAUGUUGUUUGUGAAUGGCGUAGACGUUGGUACUAUUGAUGGUAUAUGUUGCAGUUCAUGAGAUUGGAUGUUGAUGUUGUUGUACUGGUGGUAAUGAAGAUGGAUGUUAUUGGGAAAUUCAGAGUUUGGAAAUGGUGAUGGAAUUGAAAUAAUAGUAUGAGUGAGUUUCAGGGUGAAGGUCUUAGUGGUUUGAGUUAAUGAGCAUGUAUAGCAGAUGGUUGUGUUGAGCUGCAACUGCAGAUAUCAUAUGAAUUGUAGAAAGAUGUUGCUUAAAGCUGUAAUUGCAGUUAGUCUAUAUUAACAUCGAUCGAUUCAAAGGAUGAACCAAUGGAUCGUGGAUCUCGAGGUAGGCGUGGCUUGGCAUCAAAAGAGUUUCAGAGACAGAUCAGAGUUGCGCAGCGGAAGCUUCGAGGAGUUGAGUCCGUUAGUUUACUUCUGCUAUGUUAUUAUAUUGCAUAUUAUAUUUGUAAACCAAAUGACUAUUGUAUAUGUAUCAUUUGAGAGAAAUUCUUGUACAUAUAUAUAUAUAUAUAUAUAUUUCUGAG